UAGUCGUUAAAUAAAUCAAAAUUGAUUGAUAAACUAAUUAUGUUACUAAAGAGAUCCAUAUAUGCAUUUAAUUUCAAUUACUUUCUAAUUUUGUACAGUAUGAGAAAGUUGGACACUUAACAUUAUGUCAAUUUGUGCAUGGAAUCAUAUGUGCUCUUCCACCUGCUCCGCCUCCACCGCGCAUUACACUAAACUUCUCUCGGUCUUCGGCUCCUAUAUAUAUAUAUAUAUAUAUCCUCGCCACGGAAAAUUCAACCCACAACUCCUCGGCCCCGCUCGCCACUCCAAAAAUAUCUCUUUCUUUUUCUUUCUUUUCAGUUUUCACGCGCACAGACACACUGUUUUCUCAGACUAUCCGUUAUCUUUGAAAUCUCUCUUUCUUUUUCUUUCUUUAUUGAAUUGGGUGAAAGUGAUUGAUUGAAUUGGAUGUCCUCGGCGGCUCCCUUUCGGGCCGGGGCGUCCCCAAGAAGACGACUGUUACGAUCUUCUUGAUACUGAAAGAUGAAGCCACAAGAGUACAGUAUGAUUAUGCAAUUGCCCACCCAGAGGAGGUAUUCUACUAUACAGCACAAUACUACCGUGCUUACUAUGGUCACAAAACUGAUCCUUGUGCUGUCCUUAUUGGUCUUCUAGCUGGGGAAAAUUGGCGAGCACACUUGUGAAGCUGAUUUAAUAGGUGGAUGAUUUAGAAGAAGUGAGUGAAUUCUAUCAAAACAGAGGUUGUUUCAAUGAAUUAAUUCUCUUAUGGAAAGUGGACUAGGAUUGGAGAGUGCACAUAUGGGUAUCUUUACAGAGCUUGGGGUAUUGUAUGCCAGAUACCGUCAUGAGAAGCUGAUGGAACAUAUUAAAUUGUUCUCCACCUGUCUUAACAUUCCUCUUAUCCGAGCAUGUGAUGAGCAGCAGCACUGGAGCUGUAUUACAAGGCUGUCCACUUCUAUUUGCAAGAGCAUCCUGUUCUGAUUAAUGAUCUUCUCAAUGUCCUUGCACUAAAGGUGGACCACACAUGGGUGGUGGACAUCCUGAGAAAGCAGCUCUACUUAAAGGAAAGGAUAUCAGAUUCAAGAAGAUAAUCAAGUGGAAAAUGCCCUGACUGAUAUGUACAUCAAACGUGGAUGCUUGGAAUAUGCAGAUUGUAUUUUCACUAACAUGUCUGGUAGAAGCUUGGUC
Molecule: long non-coding RNA, 1167 nt
Organism: Ipomoea triloba (trilobed morning glory)
Lineage: Eukaryota; Viridiplantae; Streptophyta; Magnoliopsida; Solanales; Convolvulaceae
Exons: 5
Source: RefSeq, a predicted model, not a curated record